AUUGAACGCUGGCGGCAGGCCUAACACAUGCAAGUCGAGCGGAUGAAGGGAGCUUGCUCCUGGAUUCAGCGGCGGACGGGUGAGUAAUGCCUAGGAAUCUGCCUGGUAGUGGGGGAUAACGUCCGGAAACGGGCGCUAAUACCGCAUACGUCCUGAGGGAGAAAGUGGGGGAUCUUCGGACCUCACGCUAUCGGAUGAGCCUAGGUCGGAUUAGCUAGUUGGUGGGGUAAAGGCCUACCAAGGCGACGAUCCGUAACUGGUCUGAGAGGAUGAUCAGUCACACUGGAACUGAGACACGGUCCAGACUCCUACGGGAGGCAGCAGUGGGGAAUAUUGGACAAUGGGCGAAAGCCUGAUCCAGCCAUGCCGCGUGUGUGAAGAAGGCCUUCGGAUUGUAAAGCACUUUAAGUUGGGAGGAAGGGCAGUAAGUUAAUACCUUGCUGUUUUGACGUUACCAACAGAAUAAGCACCGGCUAACUUCGUG
RNAcentral lists this ribosomal RNA (484 nucleotides) under uncultured bacterium. Its description in RNAcentral is "partial 16S ribosomal RNA". It matches the Rfam family "Bacterial small subunit ribosomal RNA", at positions 30 to 507 of the family's 1533-position model. The record is from RNAcentral.